Long non-coding RNA from Gallus gallus (chicken), 2133 nucleotides. Lineage: Eukaryota; Metazoa; Chordata; Aves; Galliformes; Phasianidae. The record is from Ensembl.
GAGACAGUCCCCAGGUGAAUCUUGGCUGGUGAAAAAAGGAGGUCUUGGAACUACAUGUUCAGAAAGGGAAAGCAGUGAGCCACAGACAGAUUUCAGCAAUUGGAAAGCAAAAAACCCAAGGAUUUUGCCGGCGGUCCAGUAAUGUUCUGAUCUGCUGCAAAACUUUACAGUCAGCACAGCCGUCUGUGCAGGAUUUGGCCAUACCGUUCAGAGUCUGAGAUACCUGCCUAAUCAUGGUGCUCCCUGAGAGACUUCUACUUCCCUGGAGGAUGUUCCUCACUCUGACAGGUGCCUGGGAUGGAUUAGGAUCACUUGCUGGGCAGCUUUUCAAUAUUCUGUUUUAUCUUCAUCGUUCAGCACGUGGCCCCAUGUCUCGGGUACUGCACUCCAUUCAAGCUGUGCUCUGGAUACAUAAUUAUUAAUUUCAUCAGCAGCUUUUUGGUGGCAGUCACUGCUAUUGUUUUCAAGUGGAUUGUGAAUAGCGCUGAGUUCUGUUUUUCCUCUUUGAGAUGAGGGGACAUUGUUAUCUUCAUUUUUCAGGUGGAACAAAAAGACACAGGAAGAUUAAAGUGCAGAGGUUCCACUAAUUUCAGACACCAAAGAUCUCUGUAAUUACCCUUGUGGAAAGCUGAUAGCGUUAGCAAUAGCCUUCAUGUGGCCUAAUGCUAACAAAGACUCACCAGCGGCUGUCACAUCUAUUUGCUGAUGGGGGAGGCUCUGGAGCCCUGAGCUCCAUCCUAAUGCUGGCAAGUGCACCAUAGAGAGAUGCAAGCUCUCUUGCUUGUCCCUUCUGCAGCACACGGUCCAUGGACUUCUGGCUGCCCUCCUCCCCACCCCUGCCUCCAGUUGCAGUGGGUGGCUUCGUCCCAUGUGCCACUGAGAGUGGGGACUCUGCUUCCAGUCCUGCUAACCAGAUCUCAGGAAAGCUUACAGUGUGGGUAAAUUUGGGUUGAUUUUCAGAGAAUUAGCAAAUGAUCUGUUAACUUUUCCAGAAGAUGGAGCCAGGGUAUACAUUGUUCCUUAAGGUUGUUUUGAGGGGGAACAAAAAAACCAAACAAACAGAACAGUCUGCUUAUUUCCCUAAGUAUUUAGCCUGCAGGAAAAUCUGAUUAGAAGACUUCAGCCCCACAGGUUAAAGUGUAGCCAAAUUAUGAAGCAGAGAAAUCUUGGAUGACUUUACUGGUAGCAGAGUACUUGUAGCAGCCUUGCUGCUAAUAAGAAGGCAUGUACACGCACACAUGCACCCACAGAGACUUCGUGCGCAUAGACAAGCACAAUAAUUAGCAGGACGCUGGUUGCCCUCUCAUUUAUUUCACUUGUUCUUUUCUGUAGAGCUUAAUCUUGCAGACAGUUUGCUUUAAUCCUGAGUGGAUGGAAACGGCAGGAGUCUGUGUAAAAUUGGUGUAUGUUUUCAGCCACUGAGAGCAGAAACCAUCAGAAGGCAAUGCUGAAUAAAUCCAGAGGAACACCAUGGCAUUAAGGGUGCAUCAUGCUGAGCAUGCCUACUGUGGUAGAAGGUGACUCCCAUCCCAGUGAUGGAUGAGAUCCUGAACGAGUAAGCAUGUCAGGAGCACUCCUGCCACAGAUACUGACCUCUGUGAACAUAAAGUGCACUAUGAUCCCUAUUGCUCCAUCACCACCUUCAAGUUUGCAUGGUGUGUGCCACCACCUCACCUGCAUGAGCCCAGGAGGUGCUCCAGGCAUGUAGCAGAAGCUCCCUCAAGCUCAGGAGAAGCCCAUGGAGGAGCAGGCCAUCCCCCCGCAGCCCACGGAUACCACAUGGAGCAGAUCUCCAUGUGCAGCCAUGGAGGAGUCUAUGGUGCAGCAGUGGAUGAGGCCUGGAGGAGCCACAGCACAUGUUUUUUUGACUAGAUGUAUGAUUGCCAGAAGAACAUUGUUAAAAUCCCUGUCAAGAACCAACUGCAAGUAUCUGUUACAGAAAAACGCUCCAUCUCCUGACCUUCUGCACCCACAAAUACAAGAUGUCUCAUCUGCUCUUCGUGUUGGUGGAUAUCGUGUCAGAGCUAGGAGCAUGGUUUUGCAGUUAGCAAGGUUAGAGCAGCUGCAGCACAGGGCUUCUUUUGCCCAGCAUUAUGCUGUGCCAGCAAAAGGUUUUCAGGCUGCACAGAAAUG